ACUCCUUGCCGUCCGCCAUCUUGGGGAGGUCGCCUCUAGAGCAGGAGGAGGAGCCCGCCCACUAGUCACUUCAGCAUUGCUUGGGGGCCCCGGCACUGCUGCCCCUCGGAGUUGGAAAGUGCUUUUUAGUUAUCGUUUCCCUCUAGGCUAUAGGAUCUCCAAGCGUGGGAACCAGAGGGGAGAUAAUGAUAUCAGACUAGGUGGAGCUUGAGCAGAAGUGAGAAGACUAGGUGGUGGUUCUUUUUAAGAAGAAGCCAGGCAGAGCCAGGCAGAUCUCUGUAAAUUCGAGGCCAACCUGGUCCACAGAGCAAGAUCCAGAACAGGCACCAAAACUACACGGAGAAACCCUGUCUCGAACCCCCCCCCCUCCAAAAAAAAAAGGAGAAAAGAAAAAAGGAGAAAAAAAGGGCCAAUUUUUAGGUCAAUAUAUAACAGGAAAUGUUCCUGCUUCAACUUUUAAUAUAAAGUACUUUUUAAAGGUUUAUUUUUAAAAAUUAUAUGCAUGCAUCUCAUGAAUGUAGAUGCUUGCUGAGGAGUAUGUAUCCAGUCUCAGAACUAGUUACAGGCAUAACUGCCUAAUGUGGAUACUGGGAACUAAAUUGGAGUUCUUUGCAAGAGCAGUCAGGAGAGAUUUCAUGAUUUUGUAAGAAUUUGAUGUGGGCUUAUUAAAUUUUUUUUUAUUUAGUGUGAAUUUGUGUAUAGGUCAUAGGACAACUUUCAAGUGGAUGUAGGGGAUUGAACUUAGGUUGUCUUCUUGGAAGGAAGCUCCUUUAUGGGCUGAGCCAUCUUGCUGGACUGGGUUUUUAUUUUAAAGGAGAGAUCUCUUUAGCUCAGGAUUGCCUCAAACGUGUGAAUCCUCCUCCUCACCCUACUGCUUGCUGGGAUUACGGAUGUUUGUCACUGAACCUGGCUGAUACUUUUUCUAUCCUCAAACACUGGGAGUCUCACUAUGCAGCCUACACAUGAACUUGUGAGCCUCAUUCCUCCGCACCCUGAUGGGAUUAUAGGCAUGGGACCCCAUGCUUCAGCUCUCCCGACACUGUUUUGAGAAAAACAACCAAAUCUUUUUCAGAAGAUUGUACUUACCUAUAAAAAAAACCCACCAAAACAGAUGGCUUACAAGGAUGAAUUAAGACUGACCUUGACAACAGAGCACUUUUUUCAUCUUUAUAUUUAAGAUCAUGAGAAGCAAUCAAUAAAUGCUAAUAAUAUCCAAGAAUGAAGAAUCUUAAGUUAUAAUUAUAACACAAUAAGACACAAAACAAAAUUACAAAAGGAAAUUUAUUUCAAAAGCAUAAGGAAACAUUUACAUUUAAACAAGGGGAUAAACAGGUGUCUUGCCGAAGAAAAAAACGUAUUUAUGGCAUGAAGAUUUUCUUCAAAUCUCUGAAGCAAAAAGAACUAAGUUAUGCACUAUUGCCUAGGCAAGGGAAAAGAAGCAAAGGGAGGAGGAGGAAUGCAGUGAGCUCUGCAUCAGACAUGAGGUCAAGUUAUUUCUGCUGAGUUUACAAAUACACUCAGACAAGGAAGGAGGAAAAAUUAUACUAUCUCCAAAUUUAUAUUGCUGUAGUCCAAUUCAUUUUUGUACUCGAAAUGGCGUUAGACCGUGGCUGAUCUAUCUCUGAGGUCCAUACUAGAUGGUCACAGUUUUCAAUUGGCAAUUCCAUGUUCCUAUGUCUGUUCAGAUUCCAAGGAAGCCUAGGUUCAGCUCAGUCUUGUGGAAUGUUCAGAGAUUAUUGCCAGCACUCCUUAGUCAAGCUGACCAACUUCUUGUGCUCACUUGUAUUAUUCUAGACGUCUAGAAAUAUUAUCUCCAUAAAUAUGUGCAGUAAUUCUCACAAAGGGGUUUUGCUUUUUUCCCAGUGUAGAAGUAAUGGUAAUGAAGACACCUGUAUAGGAAUCGAAACCUCAAAAAAACCAAAAAAACAAACAAAACAAAACAAACCCCAAAACAAAACAAAAAAAAAAUUAACAAACCUACUAGCAAUGACAUCUGAAUAUCUGAUUUGAAUAGCAAACUUGGGAAGGAAAAUUGACUGUGGAACAAAAAUAUAUAAA
Non-coding RNA from Peromyscus maniculatus bairdii (prairie deer mouse), 2058 nucleotides. NCBI's taxonomy places the organism in Eukaryota, Metazoa, Chordata, Mammalia, Rodentia, Cricetidae. The record is from RefSeq and is a predicted model, not a curated record.